GCACUGCUGAAGAGUCCCAUAAUAGGACGAAACGGCCGUCCAGUAC
Schistosoma curassoni is the source of this 46-nucleotide non-coding RNA. Lineage: Eukaryota; Metazoa; Platyhelminthes; Trematoda; Strigeidida; Schistosomatidae. The record is from Rfam.